UCAUCUCUCCUUGUGCCAUUAUCACUCCGUCCCUAAUAGUAAUUUCGGUGAGAGCAUUAUCAUCACUAAUACCAGUUAUUAUUUCCUCUUCAGCUAAGUGAUGCUUGAGGGGGGAAUUUUUAUUUGCCUUAUUCUAGUGAAGUAUUGAUGUUCAACUAGUUUUGUCAACACAGAUCAAUUUCUACUUACUUGAUUACCUGGUAAACCAACUCCAAAGGUAAAUAUGUUAGAUUCCGUUAGUAAUAAAUAAUGCAAGAUAUCCGACAUAAAGUAAACACAUAAAGUUGCUUUUAUCGUAGGUAAAUUGAUCCACGGGUGGAUAUUGACUCGAAAGAAAUUAACGGACAAGACUUUGCCCGUUGAUUUUUGGAUAAAUAGGUCUUGACAAGAUUUUGACAAAAUCAUCUUUUCACUAUUUUUUUCUAAUAUUUAAAAGUUAAAAAUUAAUGAAAUAUGUUUAUGGUAAAACAUUUUCUUAUUAGAAGUCAUCAGAAUUUCAAUAUUUUUUCUCUAAUUUAAAAGUUCAAAAUUAAUUAAAUAUAUUUAUGGAGGUAAGGAUAAAACUUAAUUUCAUUGCAAUUUCAUUAAAGUUCAUUACAUCAAGAAAACACGAAAGGAAAACAACAGCAGAGAAGACAAGACUAAUGACUAGGUCCUAGAUAGAUGCGGACAUUCCCACUUCAUUCUACUUCUUUCACAUCUUAAUAUUCUAUGGGUGGUAUGCAGAAAUUUCAGCUCUACCCUUUCUGUAUCCACCAGACUCUCCAAAUCCAUCUUAAAAGCGUUCCAAGUCUCUAAGUUGUGCCUUCCGAUCCCUCUAUGAUAAUGACAAACCUCUCUGAAUUUCUUCCAAGCCUUAGACAUCGUAUUAGGCUUCCUUUCCACUGGUUCCGAAAUUUGGGCAUAAAUGAGCUUUAAGUAGAUUUCAUGGUAGGUAUCAUCAAACCUCAUAAACUCAUAUUUGUAAAUCUGCACAUCGUUGGUGAUGGGCAUCCCGAGAUCAACCCAAUCGCAAUAGAGAAUGGUUUAUGGUCCCCAUAAAUCGUUCAUUUGAUCGUUGCAGAUCAUGUUGCAAACCCUGGCCUUCAAUGUAGGACACUCAUCAAUGGUAUGGCCACAUUGAUUUGGAUGAUAAUGACAUCUUUUAUGAGCAUCUUCGAGAAAGCAGCCAAGUCCUUCUAUUUGAUCAGGGUAGAAGACUCUCAUAUCUCUUAGGAUUUGAUAGACUUUCGAGCAUGUCACAAUCUGGGGGCACCGAGAAUGUCCUUUGAAAUGAGAUUUGAGGGUGAUCUUUUCACUUCCCGCCCUGAUCCUAGUUGGCGAGAUGACAUCCCCUUUAAUCUUGGCCUAACGGUCCUCUCUUAAGUUUAAAGGCGGAGCUUGUUCAAACUUCUUCUUUUCCUGUGCGAUCAACUGCUUGACUUUAGCAAUUUCCUUGUCAGCUUGGUCGGCCCUCCUAGUUAGUUUCUUGGCCUCUUCUUUUUGCAUUUCUUUCACUUAGGCUAACUCCGUUAUCCGCCUUUUCAGUUGUGUGGUCCUUGAAUCCAUGACAAAUUUUCUUGAAAGAAUAAGAAUACGUUUAAAAAGAAAGUUAACAUAAAUAGUUAAGGACUUUCUAAGAAACUUAUGGACUUGGACUGUUAUGGACGGACUUUCGAUAGUAGGUGUAUAUUUUUCGCCUAAGGGGUUUUCUAAGGAUUUAAGGAGUAGAUCAAUUUACCUUUGAUUUAACAACACACAUAGCACAUCACAUAAGAUAAUUAUAUCACACCACAAAUAGAAUAGUAAAUAACGUGUCCUAAUUGGGUGACUCUUUUGAGCUAAGGGUUGGCCUAGCGUCACGUAAUUGAGAUUAUGAUAAAGUGACCCAAGCCAUUAAUUUGAGACAAACUUCGAUUUUGGAAAUAAAAGUGCCAAGUUUCAUUGAAAUAUUACAAAUAAGAUCAAAAUACAUGAAAAAAGACAAUCCUAAAACUUAGUUUAGACCUUGUUUCUGAUCAUGCUGGUGGAGAACGUGAAGAUAAUGCCUCAACAUUGUUGCAUUAUGUUGGAAAUUUGAGCCAAUAUUUUAGGCGUGACCACUGUGGUUCCUAGAUGAAAGUGCCUUAUCAAAAUAGUUAUCCCAACAUCCUCAAGAGUUAUCCCAACAUCCUCUCCCCUUCUGGACUGGGUUUUAUAUCACCAUAAUAUUCUCGAGCCCAUACCUGGUAUUCUGGCAUACACUCUGUUGGUCCGCGUCUCACAUCUAUUAUGAGAAUGUUACUCCAUUCACGCAGAAUUUGACUGGCCCUAGGAACUCUAAAGUCUGGUCUAAAAAAGACUUUUGAAACUCACUUAUUUUUUCGGAGAGGGAUGAUCUGCGUCUGACCAAACUGUCGAAGUACACGCACCGGGGCAUAUGGUUGUAGACCUCUUAAUCCGAUAAGCUUAAUAUAAUAAAUCCCUCUGCAUCAUAUGUAAGCCAAGAAACAUAGCAGUCGUAUGUAUCUCCACUGGAUUUGGUCACUGGUACGAAAGGCUAAGAAAUCAAACCAAUCAUCGGUGCUGACCGAGGAAAUGAACCUCUUCAUUCUGUCAUCAUGAGUGUCGAUCUUAUGUGAAGCGCUAAACAUUAUGUCAGUCAUAUUGUCACAUUUGUAGAAAUGCUCUUUCGCCCAUAUCUACAAAAGAAGAUUACAACCUUCAAAGAACCGUGUUUUACCUCUUACACUUUCCAAGUGCACGAAAUAUUUUCGCCAAGAUCAUAGGAACCAAGGUGAUUUUUGCGCUAUCAACUCCUUUAAAAAGUGCUUGAGCCACAAACAUAUGCAAGUACUGAUAUUUUCAUAUUCUUGUGGAAAAACCAAAGUCUCUAGCAAGGCAACGACAAAUACAAUCGGGCGCAUAACCCGCCAAUGGGUAGAAAUGCAAGUGAACUCCUUCUUGAAUAGUUUAUAACUAUCUUGACGAUCGUAUCUCUCGUACAAAUAAUCCAAAGAAACCCAAUUGUUUUUUAAGCAACAGAGUUCAACAAUGUUCUUUAAACCUAAGCAGCGAAGAAAUUUCUUCCCUGACUGACUGUGAGGGAUGAUCUAACCUCUCCCUUGAUACUUCAAAUUAGUGAGUAAUAGAUCUCCUCUAAUGUGGGGGUGAAUUCAAAGUCUUUGAAUGUAAAAACAACUUGAUUUGGGUCCUAAAAUUGAAUCAAUAGUCUAACCACAUGCUUGUCGGGGGAGAUCUUGAAGACUGUAUGGAGGAACCCCAAUUUCCUUAUAAUCGUUAAUUUUUCAAUCGAGUCAAAAUUUUUCCACCAUAUCCUCAAUUUGUGUGGAACACCUUUGACUAUUCUAAUCUUGGGCACUUGGGAAACUAAAUCCAUCCUACAAGUAAAUACAAUAAAAUAAGUACACGUUUCCAAAUUUGCAGUAUCACAAUUAGGCUUGGAUCCAUUUAUCAUUAGCUCAUGCAUAAAAUAUGAGCGGUUGUCGUCGGAUCGUAAACCCAUUUGACAUAAGGGCGUUUCUUUAAUUCAUGGAAUCACACCUUGGGUCAAACCACCGAAGGCUUAUGCAUGCAUGACCUAUAUUCGGGGAAGCUCUAUCUUAAGUUCUCCUAAGAUUUGACAUGCUAGACACAAGAUUCCCGAGUGGACAACUCGAGUAAGAAGGCUACGCGAUCACACGAAAAAAGAUCUAGAAACACCGUGCAUACGCCAACUCUUCUAAAGUUUGAAAUUUGAAAGAAAUUUGUGAAUGCACGAAACACACCUCACGUGUACAUGUGAUUGUGUCAGUUUUCCCGAAUGAAAGAAAUAUGAGCGGAAUGGAAUUUUAUAUGAAAUUUAAACAAAUAAACACGUAGUAAUUAGCCACAACAAAUUAGAAAAUUCCUUUUUGGUUAGAACCUAGAUACAUUCCUAGCAGAUUCGUCAUUUCUGUUUUAUCUCUUUUCGAAUUUUAUUUUUAAAGAAAAUGAUUUCGACUUUUUCAAACUAUUUCAAAAUUUAGAAGUAGAAUUUUUUUCAGAUUCGCCACUUUAUUUUUUAUCAAAAACAUCAAGAAAAACUUUAAAUAGAUUUCAAAAAUCUAAAAACAGAAAUAGAUCUUCAAAAUUAGAGAAACCGAGUAAGGCUUUAAUUAACGCCCUAAAAAGAUUUUUAAGGCACUUAAAAGCGUCCGUUUAAAAAUGAUUCACCAAAAGACUUAUUUUUUUACUAACUUAAAAAGGGUGACUCACUUUACAAAAAGGUUGAUUUUAAAAUACUAAAAUUAUAUAUUUACUCAAAACUGACAUUUGUUCAUUCAAAUGAGCAAUAGUCUACUUAAAUUAGAACGGACGCUACAACAUAUUCUACUUAUUAAUUUUGAGAAAAUUAUUCCGCCAUAUUUAUGAUUGAAUUUUGAAAAAAUGUUGCAAAAUAUUCUACUUGAGAAAAUAUGUUACUUAAUUUGUAAUUAUUUUCUAAGAAAGGAUAUGAAAUAUCUUACUUGAAUUAAAAAGAAAAUCUAUAUAGACUAGGUGGCACAUUUGUAUUUAAAGAGGAAAUAAGUUGAUUUUUAUGGGAAAAGAGGAUUAUAUAAUUAUUUGCUAUCAUAAAAAUGGUCAUUUUGUUAUGGAUAAUACUUUUGAAAAAAAUUAAGAAAGCAUCAUAUUAAAAACAUUUUAUCAAUUGUAGAAAGUUAGAAUUUACGAGAAAAAAAUUAACUUUUCGUGUUUGAGGGAAAUUAUUUUUUAUUCAAGUAGACUAUUAGUCAUAUGAACAAAACAAAUAUCAUUUGGACUAAAGUACUCAUUUUCUAUUUUUUCUUUUCAUAGAGACUUGUUUAAGAAAAAGUCAAAGAAACCAAAUUAUUCCAUUUUUUGAAUAAAAUGAAUUAGGUGAGACAAUUGCGAAUCAAGUGGGAAAAUUGAGAUAAGAUAAAAUAGCAACAAACAUGGGGAAACACUAGGUUAAUUAAUUAAAGUUAGUGCAAGUAGACAUGUAUAAAUUGCAAUUUAUAAGAGAUUAAAGUUCGAGUUGGGCCCCUUUUGGUCCAUUAAAGUUGCAAUUUAUAAGAGAUUAAAGUUGAGUAAGCUGCAAAUUUUGGGCUUCAUGGACUUGGGUCCAUUUUCCUGCAGUGUAUACCAUAUGUAUACCGACCAUAUUUUCCCAUGAUUUAUUGUAUAUAUGCUGUAUAUCAGUGUCUAAAUGCGCACACUUGCUUCCAAUUUUAUUGUGCUUCAUAUAUGAGCAUAUACCAGCCAAUUUUGGCCCGUACUUCCCAUAUGUGGCGUAUAUCAACGUAUACCAGCAACUAUUUCCUGCAUAGUUAUCCAUUUUUUGACUUGGAGGUGGUUUGGGCUCAAAAAUUUGGGCCUUUUGGCCCAUUGGAGUAUGCAGGAGAAGAGUCCACUUGGACUCCAAAUCAAGGUGGUCAUGCAAAAAAAUAAAAAGGGGGAAAAGAACAAAAAUAACACCUAAAACUAAAAUAAUUUCAUAAAACUAACACCUAAAUUCUAAAACCCCAUAAACAGCCACUCGGAAACUAAUUCCAACCGAAUGACCAUUGUUUUGAUACUUCACAAUAUAUGUUGUGUACUUAUUUUUUAAGGCCGUGGUGUGCCAGGGUCGGGGGUUCGAAACGCCCCUCCAGCGAAGCUGGGGUGAGGGCGCGUAGGUCAGGCCCGGAGUGGUCCCCCCUCCCCGACACCUACGGAGUAGGUAUGAACCGGGUCGUCCCACUUAUUUUUUAAGGAUUCCAUGUUGUAUUUUGUUUUCUUUUGUUUUUUUAUCAAGAGAGAAUUCCACUUUUCUUUUGUUUUUAUGUGACCACUUGGAUUAAUGUUUUUUUUUUUUUUUUGGCUCCUUUUCUUUUUUAAAGAUUCUACUCAUUUUUAUUUUUUUAAACAAUUGAGUAAUUGCUUUUUUUUUCCAGAUUAUUUUACAUUCACCAACAUUAUUAAAAUAACAUACUAUUUGUUUUGUUUAGUUUUACUUAUUUAUACAAUAAAAUGCAAUACCAUAUACUUUUAAUAUAAUACAAUUAUUAAAGAUAUAUAUUUAUAAUAAUGAUACAGUUUCUAUAUCUAUUGCAAUACCAUAUACUUUUAAUAUAAUACAAUUAUUAAAGAUAUAUAUUUAGAAUAAUGAUACAGUUUCUAUAUCUAUACAUAUUCUAUAAAUAAUUAUAGCAUUUUUAUACAUAUAUUAUAUAAUUUUUAACUACAAUUAUUAUUUAGAUACAUAUUUUAUACGACUAUAUAUAGUUUCUACAUGCAUUCUAAAAAUGUAUCAAUCUAGUAUAAGAGAGUAUCAAUUGAGUAUAUGAACACUGCAAGUGUAUCAAUGUAAUAUAAAAGUAUAUUAAUAUGGUAUAAAAGAGUAUCAAUUGGGUAUAGAGGGAUUGCAUGUGCUUACAUAGAAUUUCCUUUUAUCUUUUUUAAAAAGUGUAUCAAUAUAAUAUAAAAGUGUAUCAAUUGAGUAUACAGAUUGCAUGUGCCCAAUUGGGCCAAAUGGCUAAAAAAGAUAUUAAAUUGGGCCGACUAGCCUAAGUUGUCCACCUUUUUAAUUAUGGGAAUUUUUUUUAAAAGUGGGCAAAAUGUGAUGCACUAUUGACACUAAAAUUUGAUUAUUUGUCCACACAAGAGCACAUUCAAUCAUAUCAUAAUAGGAGAUUAAUGAGAGCAAAAUUACAACGGCAUGCCAUAAUUCUUCAUUCCUUGGAAAUUAUGGAUUUUCAUAACGGUGGGACUAACUCUUGAUUAUAUAUGGAGUGAGAAAUCAUGGAAAUAGGGCAAGCCAUGCAAUUAAACUUAUCUAAGAAUAUGGGGAAAAGACUACAUAAUUUUUAUGUGACAAUUUGUGCUCCGUAAAGAGUGGGGAUAACUUUACUAGUCAAGCAAUCCAAUGUCAUGAAUUCCUAUAAUCUUCAUUUACAAGUUGAAAAUAGUAUAUAAACACAUUCAACAAAAUCACGCGCCCUAAAAGCAAGCAUAUUAGUAAACCCGGCAUGCUAAUAACGGCAACAAGAUACCCAUGAUAUAAUCUGGUAUUUGUCUAGAACUAUAGUUAAGGUGACGUACAGACAAAACCAAAGGAAAAAUAAGGAAAAGAAAGACACAGGAAGCAUUCUUCAAAAGCAAACAAGAUACAACUGGAAUGAAUUUUACUUCUCCAAUUUAUUCUUUUUCAACUUUCUCUUUCUAAUGGACUGAGUUUUGGUUUGGUCGAAUUGGCAUAAUAGUAAGGAAAAAUAAAGUGAUCUAUAUAGGCAGGACAGUCAAUCUUUACUAAUGCCAAACACACACACACACAAUCUAGUCCGGUCGUCAGUAAACGAGUGUUUCAAGCAACUUAACACUACCAGCGCAUCUUUAGCAAGCUAAUCCUAGCAAUUUCACCCUAAAACAUCAUCAUUCGUCAAUCCGAAGAACAUGUAAGCUAAAUCUCAAAUAAAAUCUCUUUCCCACUCUUUUUAUAAACAGAUAAUUUCGUAAACUGAAAUAACGAUGAAUGGUCCCAUGAAAACAAUAAGGUUUGAAGAUUUUCAACGAGUACAUUCCGACAAGACCAAAUUCUUAACUCUCAAUAACAGAAAGAACACAUAAGGCUCGAAUAUUGGCCUUCAAACUCAUCGAUUCGGUGCUAUUCAAAUUGCAACAAAAUGUCGUAACAAAGAAAAAUGCAAAAAUUAUAAGGUUUCGCACCUGUUUUCCGGAAACAAACGGGACAAAACGGGCUUAUAACGUUGAGAAUUCCACCACCUAGACCUGAUUCCGAUCGACGACAUUCCAACAGACCGUCAAAUUUUGAUUUUUUUCUAGGUGUUCUUCGAGAAUUUCAGUUUCGUUAGGUUAAAGGCAAACACCUUCAGAACCCCCAAUUUUUUCCCCAAAAUCCUCCCCCCCCAAUGGGGGGAAAUAUUAGGGUUUUUUUAUCCGAGUUUCAAAUUUUGGAUUGAAUUUCUUAGAGGAUUGAGGUCCACGGUAGGACAAAGUUAUUAAUGGCAACAUCAGUGGACAUUGGAGAAAAGAGCCAUUUGGCUUUGGUCAAAGAAACAAAUUAAUUUUUUGUCCAAAUUGGUGAAUCACAAACUGAAAAAGGAUGAAAGUUUUCUGGAUUUUGGCCGGGAAUGGCUGAACCAGAGGGUAAAUUGGUAAAAUUGAUAGGAAACGGCUAAUUUGACUAAGGUUUGCUGUCGUUGAUUGUGGCUGUUACGUCGUUGCCGCUGUUGGGAGCUGUACGCAGCUGUUUUCUAUGCAGCUAUCGUGAUAUUGUUGUUAGCAUUUUUGCUGUUGUUGUCGGUUGUUACGGUGUUCGCUGUUCUUGCUGUUGGUAUAUUGUUGAGGCUGGUUAUUGAAAAGAGAAAGGCACACAUCGGCCGGGUCAGCCAUUUGGGUUGAGUAGUUUGGUAUUGGGCUAAUGAAGGGUGUGGUAAUGGGUUGCUGUUGGUGUUGUAAGGUGAAGAGAGGAAAAUGGGGAAUGGGCUCGGGUUGAUAUUUAAAUUGGGCCUGGGUCGGUGGGUGUGUUACUG
Molecule: long non-coding RNA, 8492 nt
Filed under: Capsicum annuum
Lineage: Eukaryota; Viridiplantae; Streptophyta; Magnoliopsida; Solanales; Solanaceae
Description: long non-coding RNA (CANN_LNC017733)
Source: RNAcentral